UGGGGGGGGGGGGGACGCGACACAGCUCAAGCCCGCCAGUGCCCCAUCGGGGCCCUAGUUAGGGCCCGAGCCAGCUGCAGAGCAGCCGGGCGUAGAGCCCUAUUAUUCCUGUAUGGGUUCUUCUUUCUUCUUUCUUUCUUUCUUUCUUUAGGGCCCGAGCCAGCUGCAGAGCAGCCGGGCGUAGAGCCCUAUUAUUCCUCUAGUGGUUUUUCUUUGUUUCUUUCUUUCUUUAGGGCCCGAGCGUAGCUGCUAAGCAGCUGCGAGAGCCCUAUUAUUCCCCAAGUGGUUUUUCUUUGUUUCUUUCUUUCUUUCUUCUUUUUCCUCCCCUUUGAACUGGAAAAUGGCCCACUUCCCACUGGCGAAAAAUUUGGCAGGACGACCGGGCCUGGUGAAAAAUUCGAUAUUCUGAAGUCGCCCAAACAAUAAAAUGCAAAAUGGCUCCAUAGCGCCCCCUAAGGUGGAAAUUCACACUAUUGACUGUCACGCCUGUACGCUUUGUCAUAUUGACACAAAAAUUGACACACAUAUGUAUCUCAAUAAGAUCUACAAAAAAGUCAGUGCGGCCGUAUCUGUCAAAAUUACGGUUAAAGGGUUAUUUCGCAUUUUUUGCCGAUCCGCACACAUUGGAAUUUCGCUAACUCCUCCGAAGGCUUUCGUUCCACCGGCACCACAUUUGCUCAGGCCAAUCUACACCCCGUGGCCAUUAAAAGUUAUCAAAAUCAUGACGCUGCACCCCAAGGUUUAGGUUCUAGGGGGCGCCAAAGAUAACACUAAAAUCCACAUAUUUAAAAGUCUUAUAACUUUUUAUUUUUGUCCUCACUGGCCUCCAAGUUUUCUAGGAUGAUGCAAUGUCCAGCCAUCAACACAUUUGUGAAGGAAUUUUUACUCCCCAAAAGAGCGCCCCCCCAUGGCAGGAGAAAAAAGUCCAUUUUUUCUUGUCCCCUAAGGUGAAAAUACACACUGUUGAGUGUCACGCCUAUACGCUUUGUCAAAAUGACACAAAAAUUGACACACACAUGUAACUCAAUAAGAUCUACGAAAAAGUCAAUGCGCGCGUAUCUGUCAAAUGUACGGUUAAAGGGUUAUUCCGCAUUUUUUGCCGAUCCGCACACAUUGGAAUGUGGCUAACUCCUCCUAAGGCUUUCGUCCCACUGAAACCAAAUUUGCUCAGGCCAAUCUACACCCCAUGGCCAUUCAAAGUUGUAAAAAUCAUGACGCUGCACCCCACGGUUUACGUUCUAGGGGGCGCCAAAGAUGACCAAAAAAUCCACAUUCUUAAAAGAAUCCACAUUCUCCCCCCCCAUGGCACGAGAAAAAGUCAAGUUUUUCCUGCCCAUCGCUCAAUGGCUCAAUCGCAUCGCUCUCCAGGCAACACCGUAAGGAGGAGUAACCUGCCAUUUGGAUAUAUCCCAGCUGUGUUUAUGCCCUCACUCAUGGUCCAGACUUUUUUCAAAUAGGACAUGAAGUUUGUCUGCAGCGAGUGUUUUGGUAGAAACUGCGCCUCCCAUUCAUUAUAAUGGGAAAUGACCACAGACAAGUGCGCACACCAUCUUUGGACCUUGAGUGUGACACGAUCGGGAGGGGGAGGCGGUCACGCUGGGGGCGGCACGACGUCGCUCGGGCCCGACAGUGCCCCACCGGGGCCCUAGUUAGGGCCCGAGCGUAGCUGCUAAGCAGCUGCGAGACUAUUAUUCCCCAAGUGGUUUUUCUUUGUUUCUUUCUUAGGGCCCGAGCGUAGCUGCUAAGCAGCUGCGAGAGCCCUAUUAUUCCCCAAGUGGUUUUUCUUUGUUUCUUUCUUUCUUUCUUCUUUUUCCUCCCCUUUGAACUGGAAAAUGGCCCACUUCCCACUGGCGAAAACUCAUGAAAUUUGGCAGGACGACCGGGCCUGGUGAAAAAUUCGAUAUUCUGAAGUCGCCCAAACAAUAAAAUGCAAAAUGGCUCCAUAGCGCCCCCUAAGGUGGAAAUUCACACUAUUGACUGUCACGCCUGUACGCUUUGUCAUAUUGACACAAAAAUUGACACACAUAUGUAUCUCAAUAAGAUCUACAAAAAAGUCAAUGCGCGCGUAUCUGUCAAAAUUACGGUUAAAGGGUUAUUUCGCAUUUUUUGCCGAUCCGCACACAUUGGAAUUUCGCUAACUCCUCCGAAGGCUUUCGUUCCACCGGCACCACAUUUGCUCAGGCCAAUCUACACCCCGUGGCCAGUAAAAGUUAUCAAAAUCAUGACGCUGCACCCCAAGGUUUAGGUUCUAGGGGGCGCCAAAGAUAACACUAAAAUCCACAUAUUUAAAAGUCUUAUAACUUUUUAUUUUUGUCCUCACUGGCCUCCAAGUUUUCUAGGAUGAUGCAAUGUCCAGCCAUCAACACAUUUGUGAAGGAAUUUUUACUCCCCAAAAGAGCGCCCCCCCAUGGCAGGAGAAAAAAGUCCAUUUUUUCUUGUCCCCUGAGGUGAAAAUACACAUUGUUGAGUGUCACGCCUAUACGCUUUGUCAAAAUGACACAAAAAUUGACACACACAUGUAACUCAAUAAGUUCUACGAAAAAGUCAUGCGCACGUAUCUGUAAAAUGUACGGUUAAAGGGUUAUUCCGCAUUUUUUGCCGAUCCGCACACAUUGGAAUAUGGCUAACUCCUCCUAAGGCUUUCGUUCCACUGGCACCACAUUUGCUCAGGACAAUCUACACCCCAUGGCCAUUAAAAGUUAUUCAAAUCAUGACGCUGCACCCCACGGUUUAGGUUCUAGGGGGCGCCAAAGAUAACCCUAAAAUCCACAUAUUUAAAAGUCUUAUAACUUUUUAUUUUUGUCCUCACUGGCCUCCAAGUUUUCUAGGAUGAUGCAAUGUCCAGCCAUCAACACAUUUGUGAAGGAAUUUUUACUCCCCAAAAGAGCGCCCCCCCAUGGCAGGAGAAAAAAGUCCAUUUUUUCUUGUCCCCUACGGUGAAAAUACAUAUUGUUGAGAUUCACGCCUAUACGCUUUGUCAUAUUGACACAAAAUUUGACAAUCACGUGCCUUGCCUGGUAUCAUUUUUUUCAGCACAACCUCACCUGUGCGAAUUUACAGUUAUUUUAUCAUGUUGACAUACUGAAUUUACACAAUGGACCCAAAUUCACACACAAAACAUAAAAUCCGAGUGGAAAAAAGUAACAUUUUUACUGUGAAAACCACAAAUAUGUGUGAUGAACUGUUUUUAAAACUUAAACUUCAAAUAAAAAUUGUAAACUUCAAAACAUAUGCAAAUUUUUAACAAAGAACAUAGUGAUUUACCUCUAUUUUCAUCAAAAUGCAGGCAAUGGCCCAGGCGUUCUUUGUAAAAUUAUUUACAAAACACUGUAUAGUCUCACAAAUGUCACUUUUUAUUUAUGCCACUGCAAAAAAACAUGAUGUAAAUGAUGCAUGAUGUAAAACAUGAUGUAAAAAACUUGUGUAGAUCCUCCUCUAUGUCAGUCCAUGUGUAAUUUUUCCAUAAUUCUUUGUUUUUUGCAGCAUUUUUGUUAGUGUAACUGCAGAUUGUGCUGACAGUGUCUAUGGCACAAAAAAAAAAAAAAAUUAAAAUGCCUCAACAUGAACCCCUGGUGGUCUCUGAGGGUGAAACCUGCUAACUGCUGCAGCUCUGUCAGCUUCAGUCUCCCAUGCAGAGCUCUGAGCGUAUGUGUGGCUCUGCACCCUUAGCAGCGUUGCUAACUCCUCAGUAAGGAAAGCCUGCUUCAUGUCAGAGUCUCUAAACUCCAGAAGAAGUCGAUAAAAGUCCCUUUCUUUCUAAAAAAAAGUCGUUAGGGGGUCUGAAAAGUCAUUGAAUCUAACAACAAAGUCGCUAGGUUUGCAACUACGUGUCCCAGACUGCAUCCCUGCUGAGAGUCCCUCCCUCCCUUCUCAUGUUGCAGGAAGACAGUAAGCACCCGCCCCUUGUCAAUCAGUCACCAUAUAAUUUUGGAUUGGUUGUUGUGGUGAAGUUUUCCACCAAUAGGAGAGAUGUUGUGGUGUGUUUUUUUUUUCUUUUGGCAAGCCUUUUCCGCCUGUAAGACCUGUCGCUAAUGUCUGCAUGCUAUGUUUUCCUGUCUCAUACAGCGCGAUUGAGCGCCGAACGUGAUCAAAAUAAGCAGAAAAAAAGUAUCGCGGACAUAAUUUAUCAUAACUCUGGUUUUAUUUGGCCUAUCAACACAAUUUAAAAACUGGUAUAUAGGUUGAGGUCCUCACUUUUGAGAUCAGUUGAAACGGAGAGUCAACGAGGCUCCGUCUUGCAGCUACAUCCGGUUAAAUAUGUCAUGUGACUUGAACGCACACACACACACGCACACACACACACACACACACACACACACACACACACACACACUCAGAGUCUGGUUUUUAGCACCUGCAAAAACAUGCUAUUUACAUAUUUGACAAGAAUGCAGAGGCUCCUUUUGCCCCUGAAAAAAAUCAAAUUUCAAACACAACUUGACUGGUCAUUUCUCCAAAAGACAACCAUGAAGCUCCAUCCAAACCUGAAGCAGGCAGUUGGUGCAUGUGUACAGUAACCUGAGGGGAGUGAGGUGAGUGCUUCUGAGGAGAACAUGAGCAGUGAAGAUUCACCUUGGAGCUAGAACAGAGACAUGCACAUGAUUAUACAGGGGCAGGGGCUCAAGUUUUUUCCAGUCGUUUAUACAAUAUGGAAAUUAAUGUGAAAUUAAAACACAAAGUAUUAAUAGAAAGGUAAUGACUGUCCUGUGUAGGUGACAGUGAUAUCCAAUAGGCUAGGCACUCACGAGGCUGGCUGUGGCAAGUGUAAGUGAAAGCAACACGCACUGGCAGGAAGAACAGCAAACGCCGAUGAAGGAAAAGGGUCUUUGCAGUGAUGGGCGUUACCAGAGAGGGCGAUGGCCAGAGGACACAAAUGGGACGGGGAGGCAGCACGUUGGGGGGGGGGG
Non-coding RNA from Xyrichtys novacula (pearly razorfish), 4907 nucleotides. The record is from the annotation of a GenBank genome assembly. NCBI's taxonomy places the organism in Eukaryota, Metazoa, Chordata, Actinopteri, Labriformes, Labridae.